This 242-nucleotide ribosomal RNA is filed under the name uncultured bacterium. RNAcentral describes it as "partial 16S ribosomal RNA". It matches the Rfam family "Bacterial small subunit ribosomal RNA", at positions 93 to 334 of the family's 1533-position model. The record is from RNAcentral.
GAGUGGCGGACGGGUGAGUAACGCGUGGAUAACCUACCUCAUACAGGGGGAUAACAACCAGAAAUGGUUGCUAAUACCGCAUAAGCGCACAGGACCGCAUGGUCUGGUGUGAAAAAACUCCGGUGGUAUGAGAUGGAUCCGCGUCUGAUUAGCUAGUUGGUAAGGUAAGAGCUUACCAAGGCGACGAUCAGUAGCCGACCUGAGAGGGUGACCGGCCACAUUGGGACUGAGACACGGCCCAA